UGGCGAGGCCGCGGCUUCCCCCGCUACUACCGCCUGCUCCACCUCGUUGGACCCGGUUCAUGCCGCGCGGGAACUCGAAGAUUCAACAGCGGAGGAGAUCCUGUCCACUAGAGCAGUGCUUCUCAACUUGUGGUCACAACCUCGGGUGAGGCCAUGAUGUUGUCACAGACGGUUCACAAAGACUUGAAAAAAGUUAUGAUUUAAAUCUGGAGUUAAGUCUUGGGCAUGCAUCCAGAUAGGAGGAAAACUGCUUUUCCAGUUUCAAAGAAGUGAUUGUUAUUGGAUCUCCUAACCUCAGUGAAUUCCUCAUGGACACACUUCAUGGACACACUUAAAUGAGGACACACCUCAUGGACACACUUAAAUCCCACAUUAGGGAUUUACUGGCACCUAAAGACUUGUGGCUUUAAUCACUGCCCAAUGCUGCAAAGCCAAAAUUGCACGGAAAGAAGAAUUGUCUUGCAGCAACUAUCUUCAAAGCCAAUACAAAGUUUGGAAGCCCGCACAACAGAUAAAAUAAAAUAAAUGGCAAUUUUUAUUUAACUAUCCUAGGACAUUGGGGCAAAAACACCACAGAGAGUACUAUGUAUUUUUUAUACAGGCUGAUGGGAUAUUCAAAUGAUUUACCAGGAUGAAAUCUUUAUUUUAAAAAAGGUAUUACAAAUGGUCAACUUAUAACCAUUUGUUUAAUGUUCCUCUGAAAUUAUAAACAAACUAGAAAAAAAGUGAUUUAUGACUGAUCCUUAUACUUAUGACCGUCACAGCAUCUCCAUGGUCACAUAGUUAAAAUUCAGGCUCUUGGCAAUUGGCAUGUGUUUAUGAUGGUAGCGGCAAGCCAGGGUCAUGAGAUCAUCAUCUGCAGACAUCUUAGCCAUGGAUGGAAUUUUACCAGUUCGGACUGAUUCGGGAGAACCAGUAACUCCAACGAUCAGGUGGGCCUGCCCUCCCGCCCCUGUGCUUCACUGACCUAUAUCUCCUCAGCUGAUUUGCGCGACAGAAUGGAUUACUGCGCUUCAGCUGUGUUACUCCCCAGCAGUAACGCGGAAAGUAUGUUUUCUUAAAAUUGUGCACAUGCACUCAGCACGUGUCAGGCGCGCGCGAUCAUUGAACCAGUUGUUAAACCAGCAGGAUCCCACCACUGUUCCUAGCUGGCUUCUUACAAGCAAAGUUUGUAAUAAGGGGAGAUGAAUUUGUUUAAUUAUCAUACAAUUUGCUUAAUAACUGCAGUGAUGUGCUCAACAAUUAUGGCAAAAAGGUUGUAAAAUCUGGUAUAAUUCACUUAACAACGGUCUUGCUUGCUGGUGGAAAUUCUGGUACCAGUUAUGAUUACAAUUCAAGGACUACCUGUAUUUAAAAAUUGGAAUAAUAUAGCUGAUAUAAUUGUGGUCAUGAGGAAUAGAGUAGCAUCCAUUUUCUCUGUAAUAAUGGUGUUUAUUAAAGAAGAAUAGCUGUGUAGUUCAUUCACUAAUCUAUAAAUAUAAAAGCCAAAUACCACUCACCCAUCAUGAAAUCUUCAGAACUGUAAAGCCUACAAAUUUGAA
This is a long non-coding RNA of Thamnophis elegans (Western terrestrial garter snake), 1541 nucleotides long. RefSeq lists it as uncharacterized. The record is from RefSeq and is a predicted model, not a curated record. The transcript is spliced from 4 exons. NCBI's taxonomy places the organism in Eukaryota, Metazoa, Chordata, Lepidosauria, Squamata, Natricidae.